GGCCCCUUCGUCUAGAGGCCCAGGAUACUGCCCUCUCAAGGCAGAGACACGGGUUCGAAUCCCGUAGGGGCUA
This 73-nucleotide transfer RNA is filed under the name bacterium. Its description in RNAcentral is "tRNA-Glu". It matches the Rfam family "tRNA". From Rfam's summary of the family: Transfer RNA (tRNA) molecules are approximately 80 nucleotides in length. Their secondary structure includes four short double-helical elements and three loops (D, anti-codon, and T loops). Further hydrogen bonds mediate the characteristic L-shaped molecular structure. tRNAs have two regions of fundamental functional importance: the anti-codon, which is responsible for specific mRNA codon recognition, and the 3' end, to which the tRNAs corresponding amino acid is attached (by aminoacyl-tRNA synthetases). tRNAs cope with the degeneracy of the genetic code in two manners: having more than one tRNA (with a specific anti-codon) for a particular amino acid; and 'wobble' base-pairing, i.e. permitting non-standard base-pairing at the 3rd anti-codon position. RNAcentral also lists the same sequence under 1 other name. The record is from RNAcentral.